GCGGUAUCCUUUGCCCUUUUAUUGGAGGCUAGGAUGGAUGGCCUAACGUAAAUCUAACCUGUCUCUUUUAUAAUUAAUAGGAAUUAAUCUUUAGGUGAAGAAGCCUAAAUUUAUUCAUAGGACGAAAGGCCCUGUCGAGCUUUAAAUUUUUAUUUUAAUUUUUUUCCUUUGGUAGAAGAAUGGUUUUUAUUUAUUUUGUUUGUUGGGGUGACAGAAGAACAUUCAAAGCUUCUUCUAAUUGAAUUAAACUUUUUAGUUUGUUGAUCUUCUAAUGGAAAAAAAAAGAAUAGUUCCCGCAGGGAUAACAGCGUAAUUUUUUUGGAAAGUUCAAAUUAAAAAAAAAGUUGGG
This 349-nucleotide ribosomal RNA is filed under the name Chiton olivaceus. RNAcentral describes it as "partial 16S ribosomal RNA". Lineage: Eukaryota; Metazoa; Mollusca; Polyplacophora; Chitonida; Chitonidae. The record is from RNAcentral.